UGCAGUCGAACGGCAGCGCGGGGCAACCUGGCGGCGAGUGGCGAACGGGUGAGUAAUAUAUCGGAACAUACCCUAGAGUGGGGGAUAACGUAGCGAAAGUUACGCUAAUACCGCAUACGAUCUAAGGAUGAAAGUGGGGGAUCUUCGGACCUCAUGCUCAUGGAGUGGCCGAUAUCUGAUUAGCUAGUUGGUAGGGUAAAAGCCUACCAAGGCGACGAUCAGUAGCUGGUUUGAGAGAACGACCAGCCACACUGGAACUGAGACACGGUCCAGACUCCUACGGGAGGCAGCAGUGGGGAAUUUUGGACAAUGGGGGCAACCCUGAUCCAGCAAUGCCGCGUGAGUGAAGAAGGCCUUCGGGUUGUAAAGCUCUUUUGUCAGGGAAGAAACGGUGUUUCCUAAUACGGAAUGCUAAUGACGGUACCUGAAGAAUAAGCACCGGCUAACUACGUGCCAGCAGCCGCGGUAAUACGUAGGGUGCAAGCGUUAAUCGGAAUUACUGGGCGUAAAGCGUGCGCAGGCGGUUUUAUAAGUCUGAUGUGAAAUCCCCGGGCUCAACCUGGGAACUGCAUUGGAGACUGUAAGGCUAGAGUGUGUCAGAGGGGGGUAGAAUUCCACGUGUAGCAGUGAAAUGCGUAGAUAUGUGGAGGAAUACCGAUGGCGAAGGCAGCCCCCUGGGAUAACACUGACGCUCAUGCACGAAAGCGUGGGGAGCAAACAGGAUUAGAUACCCUGGUAGUCCACGCCCUAAACGAUGUCUACUAGUUGUCGGGUCUUAAUUGACUUGGUAACGCAGCUAACGCGUGAAGUAGACCGCCUGGGGAGUACGGUCGCAAGAUUAAAACUCAAAGGAAUUGACGGGGACCCGCACAAGCGGUGGAUGAUGUGGAUUAAUUCGAUGCAACGCGAAAAACCUUACCUACCCUUGACAUGGAAGGAAUCCCGAAGAGAUUUGGGAGUGCUCGAAAGAGAACCUUUACACAGGUGCUGCAUGGCUGUCGUCAGCUCGUGUCGUGAGAUGUUGGGUUAAGUCCCGCAACGAGCGCAACCCUUGUCAUUAGUUGCUACGAAAGGGCACUCUAAUGAGACUGCCGGUGACAAACCGGAGGAAGGGGGGAUGACGUCAAGUCCUCAUGGCCCUUAUGGGUAGGGCUU
Molecule: ribosomal RNA, 1155 nt
Filed under: Undibacterium sp.
Lineage: Bacteria; Pseudomonadati; Pseudomonadota; Betaproteobacteria; Burkholderiales; Oxalobacteraceae
Description: bacterial SSU rRNA
Rfam family: Bacterial small subunit ribosomal RNA
Source: RNAcentral